GAAAGUAAGCAAGGGCGCAUGGCGGAUGCCUUGGCUCUCGGAGGCGAUGAAGGACGUGAUAAGCUGCGAUAAGCUUCGGGCAGGUGCAAAUAACCUUUGAUCCGAAGAUUUCCGAAUGGGACAACCCGUCAUUCUGAAGGAAUGACAUCUUGCAUAGCAAGAGGCUAACGCAGGGAACUGAAACAUCUUAGUACCUGUAGGAAAAGAAAAUAAUAAUGAUUCCCCUAGUAGUGGCGAGCGAACGGGGAUUAGCCCAAACCAAUGUUGUUACGGCAAUAUUGGGGUUGUAGGACCACGCUCUCGCAAGAAGUUUAGUGAGAAGAACCCUUUGGAAAAUGGGACCAUAGACGGUGAUAGUCCGGUAUUCGAAGCUAAAUGAAGCGUAGUGGUAUCCUGAGUAGCGCGGGACACGAGGAAUCUUGCGUGAAUCUGCCGGGACCAUCCGGUAAGGCUAAAUACUCCCGAGAGACCGAUAGCGAACCAGUACUGUGAAGGAAAGGUGAAAAGCACUUCGAAUAGAAGAGUGAAAUAGUCCCUGAAACCGUGCGCCUACAAGCGGUCGGAGCUGCUUCAGCAGUGACGGCGUGCCUUUUGCAUAAUGAACCUACGAGUUACUUUUUCCGGCAAGGUUAAGGAUCUUGAGAUCCGCAGCCGAAGCGAAAGCGAGUCUUAACAGGGCGAUUAGUCGGAAGGAGUAGACGCGAAACCAAGUGAUCUACCCUUGGUCAGGUUGAAGGUUAGGUAACACUAACUGGAGGACCGAACCGAUAAGCGUUGAAAAGCUUCCGGAUGAACUGAGGGUGGGGGUGAAAGGCUAAUCAAACUUGGAGAUAGCUCGUACUCCCCGAAAUGCAUUUAGGUGCAGCCUUGGGAAUUACUACUGUGAGGUAGAGCGACUGAUAAGAUGCGAGGGCUUCACCGCCUAUCAAGUCUUGAUAAACUCCGAAUGCGCAGUAGUUCGAUCCCAGGAGUGAGGGCAUGGGUGCUAAGGUCCAUGUCCUAAAGGAGAAGAAUCCAGACCAUCAGCUAAGGUCCCGAAAUAAUUGCUAAGUUGAACUAACGAAGUCAGAUUGCUAAGACAGCUAGGAUGUUGGCUUGGAAGCAGCCAUUCAUUUAAAGAGUGCGUAACAGCUCACUAGUCGAGGAGUUUGGCGUGGAUAAUAAUCGGGCAUUAAGCAAUUUACCGAAGCUAUGGGAUGUUAACUAAACACUAACAUCGGUAGGGGAGCAUUCCACUCUGCGUCGAAGGUGAAGCGUGAGCUUUGCUGGAGCGUGUGGAAAAGCAAAUGUAGGUAUAAGUAACGAUAAAGGGGGUGAGAAACCCCCUCGCCGAAAGACUAAGGUUUCCUGAUCAACGCUAAUCGGAUCAGGGUUAGUCGGGUCCUAAGGCUCAGCCGAACGGUGAGGCCGAUGGCAGAACAGGUUAAUAUUCCUGUACUACCUUAAGGAGUGACGUGGAGACGGAGCAGUGAUAGCGCCGCGGACUGACGGAAUAGUCCGUUGAAGGGUGUAGAUGUUGAUCUUUGCAGGCAAAUCCACAAAGAGAGUCGAACCUGAUAGUAUGGAACGUUCUUCGGAACAAUCCAAUAGUGCGUGUAAGCAUACUCCCAAGAAAAUCCGCUAAACUUAAUCUUUAAGGUACCCGUACCGCAAACGGACACACGUAGUCGGGUUGAAUAUACUAAGGCGCUUGAGUGAUUCACGGUUAAGGAACUAGGCAAAUUGACCCUGUAACUUCGGGAUAAAGGGUCCCAACGAGAGUUGGGCGCAGAGAAUAGGUCCAGGCAACUGUUUAACAAAAACACAGGGCUGUGCCAAAUUGAAAGAUUACGUAUACAGCCUGACACCUGCCCGGUGCUGGAAGGUUAAGAGGAGAUGUCAUCGCAAGAGAAGCAUUGAAUUGAAGCCCCAGUAAACGGCGGCCGUAACUAUAACGGUCCUAAGGUAGCGAAAUUCCUUGUCGGGUAAGUUCCG
Molecule: ribosomal RNA, 1974 nt
Filed under: human gut metagenome
Description: bacterial LSU rRNA
Rfam family: Bacterial large subunit ribosomal RNA
Source: RNAcentral